CUACGUGCCAGCAGCCGCGGUAAUACGGAAGGUUCGGGCGUUAUCCGGAUUUAUUGGGUUUAAAGGGAGCGUAGGCUGGAGAUUAAGUGUGUUGUGAAAUGUAGACGCUCAACGUCUGAAUUGCAGCGCAUACUGGUUUCCUUGAGUACGCACAACGUUGGCGGAAUUCGUCGUGUAGCGGUGAAAUGCUUAGAUAUGACGAAGAACUCCGAUUGCGAAGGCAGCUGACGGGAGCGCAACUGACGCUUAAGCUCGAAGGUGCGGGUAUCAAACAGGAUUAGAUACCCUGGUAGUCCGCACAGUAAACGAUGGAUGCCCGCUGUUGGUACCUGGUAUCAGCGGCUAAGCGAAAGCAUUAAGCAUCCCACCUGGGGAGUACGCCGGCAACGGUGAAACUCAAAGGAAUUGACGGGGGCCCGCACAAGCGGAGGAACAUGUGGUUUAAUUCGAUGAUACGCGAGGAACCUUACCCGGGCU
RNAcentral lists this ribosomal RNA (477 nucleotides) under uncultured bacterium. Its description in RNAcentral is "bacterial SSU rRNA". It matches the Rfam family "Bacterial small subunit ribosomal RNA", at positions 501 to 981 of the family's 1533-position model. The record is from RNAcentral.